RNAcentral lists this ribosomal RNA (646 nucleotides) under Paracanthobdella livanowi. RNAcentral's name for it is "partial large subunit ribosomal RNA". It matches the Rfam family "Eukaryotic large subunit ribosomal RNA", at positions 366 to 812 of the family's 3401-position model. The record is from RNAcentral. Lineage: Eukaryota; Metazoa; Annelida; Clitellata; Acanthobdellida.
GAAAAGAACUUUGAAGAGAGAGUUCAAUAGUACGUGAAACCGUUUAGAGGUAAACGGACAGGGCCGCAAAGUUCGCCGUUCGAAUUCAGCUUACUAGCCAUUGGCGAGGUCGGCCCGGUCAUCCUAUCGGAGACUGGUCGAUCGCGCGGGCGACUGGCGGUGGGCGCAUUUUCGAGCGGCGGAGCGCCACGACCGUUUCGGCGGCGGUCAGAACCUCCCGAAGAAGGUGCCCGAUUGCCUAUCGGCGUCGGUGUUAUAGAUUCGGGGUUGAGCGUGUCCCGUCGUCGGAGCGAGGAAGACUUUGCGCGAUCUGCGUCGUAAGUCGAGUCUGCGUCGGUGGCCAAAUUGCACGCACUGUCGUCAGUGCGCGCUAACCGCAUCGGUCUAGGCUCGGCCCUCUCGGCGUAGGUUCGGAGUCUGUGGCGAAUCGGUCGGUAGCCUGUCCGACCCGUCUUGAAACACGGACCAAGGAGUCUAACAUGUGCGCGAGUCGUAGGGCUAUACGAAACCCGAAGGCGUAAUGAAAGUAAAGAUCUGUUUCGCGACAGAUUCGGGUAGGAUCUCGCCGUUAGCGAUAGCGGCGGGCGCACUACCGGCCCGUUUCAGCCGCGUCGUCGGCGAGGCGGAGCUAGAGCGCACACGUUGG